This 440-nucleotide ribosomal RNA is filed under the name uncultured bacterium. RNAcentral's name for it is "partial 16S ribosomal RNA". It matches the Rfam family "Bacterial small subunit ribosomal RNA", at positions 338 to 795 of the family's 1533-position model. The record is from RNAcentral.
CCUACGGGAGGCUGCAGUGGGGAAUAUUGCACAAUGGGGGAAACCCUGAUGCAGCGACGCCGCGUGAGUGAAGAAGUAUUUCGGUAUGUAAAGCUCUAUCAGCAAGGAAGAAAAUGCCAGUACCUGCCCAAGAAGCCCCGGCUAACUACGUGCCAGCAGCCGCGGGAAUACGUAGGGGGCCAGCGUUAUCCGGAUUUAAUGGGUGUAAAGGGAGCGUAGACGGUUAUGUAAGUCUGGAGUGAAAGCCCGGGGCCCAACCCCGGGCCUGCUUUGGAAACUGGGUAACUGGAGUACAGGAGGGGAAGGGGGAAUGCCUGGUGUAGCGGUGGAAUGCGUAGAUAUCGGGAGGAACACCGGCGGCGAAGGCGGCCUGCUGGACUGAAACUGACGUUGAGGCUCGAAAGCGUGGGGAGCAAACAGGAUUAGAUACCCCAGUAGUC